Molecule: ribosomal RNA, 252 nt
Filed under: uncultured Lactobacillus sp.
Lineage: Bacteria; Bacillati; Bacillota; Bacilli; Lactobacillales; Lactobacillaceae
Description: partial 16S ribosomal RNA
Rfam family: Bacterial small subunit ribosomal RNA
Source: RNAcentral
UAACACGUGGGGAACCUGCCCCAUAGUCUGGGAUACCACUUGGAAACAGGUGCUAAUACCGGAUAAGAAAGCGGAUCGCAUGAUCAGCUUUUAAAAGGCGGCGUAAGCUGUCGCUAUGGGAUGGCCCCGCGGUGCAUUAGCUAGUUGGUAAGGUAAGGGCUUACCAAGGCGAUGAUGCAUAGCCGAGUUGAGAGACUGAUCGGCCACAUUGGGACUGAGACACGGCCCAAACUCCUACGGGAGGCAGCAGCC